Molecule: ribosomal RNA, 492 nt
Filed under: uncultured bacterium
Lineage: Bacteria
Description: bacterial SSU rRNA
Rfam family: Bacterial small subunit ribosomal RNA
Source: RNAcentral
GACGAACGCUGGCGGCGCGCUUAACACAUGCAAGUCGAGCGAGAACCGGGACUUUGGUCCCGGGGACAGCGGCGAACGGGUGAGUAACACGUGGGUAAUCAACCCUUGGCACCGGGAUAGCCUGAGGAAACUUGGAUUAAUACCGGAUGGCCCCUCCGACUCUCGAGUCGGUCGGGAAAGGUAGCUUAGGCCUCUGGCCGGGGACGAGUUCGCGGCGGAUUAGCUUGUUGGUGGGGUAAUGGCCUACCAAGGCGACGAUCCGUAGCUGGUUUGAGAGGACGAUCAGCCACACUGGGACUGAGACACGGCCCAGACUCCUACGGGAGGCAGCAGUGGGGAAUCUUGCGCAAUGGGCGAAAGCCUGACGCAGCGACGCCGCGUGAGGGAAGAAGGCCUUCGGGUUGUAAACCUCUUUCAGGAGGGACGAAGCUACUCGGGUGAAUAGCCCAGAGGGUGACGGUACUUCCAGAAGAAGCCCCGGCUAACUACGUG